UACAGAGGUCUCAAGCGUUGUUCGGAUUCAUUGGGCGUAAAGGGUGCGUAGGUGGCGCCAUAAGUCGGGUGUGAAAUCUCGGAGCUUAACUCCGAAACUGCAUUCGAUACUGCCGUGCUUGAGGACUGGAGAGGAGACUGGAAUUUACGGUGUAGCAGUGAAAUGCGUAGAGAUCGUAAGGAAGACCAGUGGCGAAGGCGGGUCUCUGGACAGUUCCUGACACUGAGGCACGAAGGCCAGGGGAGCAAACGGG
RNAcentral lists this ribosomal RNA (253 nucleotides) under uncultured bacterium. Its description in RNAcentral is "partial 16S ribosomal RNA". It matches the Rfam family "Bacterial small subunit ribosomal RNA", at positions 524 to 776 of the family's 1533-position model. The record is from RNAcentral.